GGGGAUUUAGCUCAGCGGUAGAGUGCUUGCCUAGCAAGAGCAAGGCUCUAGGUUCAAUCCCCA
Molecule: transfer RNA, 63 nt
Filed under: Rattus norvegicus (Norway rat)
Lineage: Eukaryota; Metazoa; Chordata; Mammalia; Rodentia; Muridae
Rfam family: tRNA
About the family: Transfer RNA (tRNA) molecules are approximately 80 nucleotides in length. Their secondary structure includes four short double-helical elements and three loops (D, anti-codon, and T loops).
Source: Rfam by way of RNAcentral